GAGGGUAUAGCUUAAGUGGUGAGGCGAAUGCUUAGCAUGCAUGAGGUCCUGGUUUCAAUCCCCAGUACCUGCU
Molecule: transfer RNA, 73 nt
Filed under: Camelus bactrianus (Bactrian camel)
Lineage: Eukaryota; Metazoa; Chordata; Mammalia; Artiodactyla; Camelidae
Also listed under: 2 other names
Rfam family: tRNA
About the family: Transfer RNA (tRNA) molecules are approximately 80 nucleotides in length. Their secondary structure includes four short double-helical elements and three loops (D, anti-codon, and T loops). Further hydrogen bonds mediate the characteristic L-shaped molecular structure. tRNAs have two regions of fundamental functional importance: the anti-codon, which is responsible for specific mRNA codon recognition, and the 3' end, to which the tRNAs corresponding amino acid is attached (by aminoacyl-tRNA synthetases). tRNAs cope with the degeneracy of the genetic code in two manners: having more than one tRNA (with a specific anti-codon) for a particular amino acid; and 'wobble' base-pairing, i.e. permitting non-standard base-pairing at the 3rd anti-codon position.
Source: Rfam by way of RNAcentral